AGUAAUGCUUGGGAAUCUGGCUUAUGGAGGGGGAUAACUACGGGAAACUGUAGCUAAUACCGCGUAGAAUCGGAAGAUGAAAGUGCGGGACCGCAAGGCCGCAUGCCAUGAGAUGAGCCCAAGUGGGAUUAGGUAGUUGGUGGGGUAAAGGCCUACCAAGCCUGCGAUCUCUAGCUGGUCUGAGAGGAUGGCCAGCCACACUGGAACUGAGACACGGUCCAG
Molecule: ribosomal RNA, 222 nt
Filed under: uncultured bacterium
Lineage: Bacteria
Description: partial 16S ribosomal RNA
Rfam family: Bacterial small subunit ribosomal RNA
Source: RNAcentral